CCACGCGUACCCAUCCCGAACACGACCGUUAAGCCCUCCAGCGCCGAUGGUACUUGGACCGAAGGGUCCUGGGAGAGUAGGACGUUGCCAAGC
RNAcentral lists this ribosomal RNA (93 nucleotides) under Paenibacillus odorifer. RNAcentral also lists the same sequence under 8 other names. The record is from RNAcentral. Lineage: Bacteria; Bacillati; Bacillota; Bacilli; Caryophanales; Paenibacillaceae.